RNAcentral lists this long non-coding RNA (2293 nucleotides) under Nicotiana benthamiana. RNAcentral's name for it is "long non-coding RNA (NBEN_LNC009482)". The record is from RNAcentral. Lineage: Eukaryota; Viridiplantae; Streptophyta; Magnoliopsida; Solanales; Solanaceae.
UAAUUAACUGACUAGGAAAAGCUUAUGGAAUUCCAACUAAUAGAACCAUAACUUAAACUCUUGAUAGAUUUUAAAACUUCAUUUCAAAAGAUGUUACACGCUGAAUUAAAUAUAAGAAGUCAUGAUCAAACUUGAUAAGCAAAUAAACCACUCCUAUCUUGUGUUCAUGACGCACACUUCACCAAAACAAUCUCAUUGCCAAUAACAAACCCCACCAUUAUGUUCAAACACCUCACAGAAACCUUCUAACAGCACACCACACAUCAUCAUUUUGUCCUUAGCUUCUUUACCACCAAUUCAAGCAUGAUUACUUAUUUUAUCUAAGGCUAAAGCAAAUUUAAGACAUAUUUAAAUUGACUGAGUUCUCUAACACAACAUUCCAACAAUUCCCAAAUCAAAUACAAUUAUAAGAAUUCGACUAUUCAAAAUAGAAACUAGCUAGAAUACAUGACGAAUCAGGUGAUUAAAGGAAUAAACAUUAUCAAGAAGUACAACUGAAAUACAAAUACAACUACUGCCAUGCUUUCAACUCUGUUUUUCAUUUCUAUUUUCAAAUCGAAACUCACAUUAGGUAGAAUUCAGAAAAAAUGUACCUGAAAAUGAAAAAGGAAGUAAAUAAGUGAGGAUUCAGCACAGAUCAGCAGCCGAAAGCUCAACCAAAAGGAAGCAACAUCUGAGUCAGAAAAAGAAACCAGCAAUGGAACAGUGUUCUUCCCAAAGAACUGAAGGGGAUUUUAGAUUAUUUAAUAAUUUUCCAAAGAGAGCCAGCCGUUUUAAAAAAAGUACGACCCAGUACAAUACCACUCAGUGGUGUCUGGGGAGGGUAGUGUGUACGCAACCUUACCCCUACCCUGGGGUAGAGAGGCUGUUUCCAAAUAGACCCCCGGCAUAAAUUCCCAGAAUUUGCUCCUGGGGAGACUCGAACUCACAACCUCUCGGUUGUAAGUGAGGGUUGGUUACCAUCAGCCAGCCGUUUUAGUUUUAGGAUAUUUUCUUUUCCAAAAUCUGCCUUGAAUAUCAAGUAAUGAUACCUUUAUAGACAAGCUAUUUGGGCAGCCUCAAAGAAAUCAGAUUUGCACUUCUAGCCUUUUGAUAUUUUCAUUUUUGCUCUCAUACCCUUAGGGUAAAAUUCAGAUUCUCACAUGAGUUCCUAUCCCAGCUUCCAAGAAACUUCCUAAUUCAGUUAAAUAAGAUUCCCUAAGUUACAUUACCCAAAAUACCCCUUAAACCCCUGCUUUUUUACUUUCAGGCAACCAAACAGGUAUGGGUCAAUGUUGACCCAAGGUUCAAAUCCCAAAUGAAUAGGCCAGAAUUGAACUUAAGGCUAAAACAAAACUCAAAAACCCAUUUAGCUAAAUCAAUGAGAAGUAGAAAAGAGAAACAAAUGAACAACUUAAAAAGCCCAAAAUCUAAACUAACAAUUGAUUUUCUUUUUAAGCUAAAAUACCGAAUCAGAAUUAAACUAAAUUAAUAAAUUAAAAAAGAUCUAACUUAAACUAAUUAUCAAAAGGACAGUGUUAUAAUUAACCGAAAGAAAACAGAUAACAUCGUUCAAAAAUUUGAAGAAGAAAAUUGAGAAUUCACUCGAACAAAUACGACCGCUGCUUUAAUCAAGAGGGAAAACUAGAUUUGAGACUUUUUAUCACUUUCCAAUCAGAGAAACAAGCAUUAGAAGAAACGAAACAGAAGGAGGCUGGUUCAAAAAUGAAGCUGACGACAGAGACGAAGGAGCAAGAACAAAGAGAAAAUACAUCGAUGGCCAUACAGACAAGGCUUGAUAAACCUCAAACGACUCCAAUUUGACUCGCAACUAGUAUUAAUCGUAUGUUCUUUUUGAGAACAAACUAGCAAUACUCGUUUCAAGCCCAAUCGUUCACAAGAACUCGAGGACUUGAGAGAUUUUCUUCUCCUCCGAUUUCAAAUUUGAAACAUGUCCGAUUUGGCGAGGAUUUUGGGAAAAAUGGUGGGGAUUGGGGCUGAGGGAAGGGUGAUGGUUGAAAGGCUGGAUUUUGGUGGUGGUUGAAGCUAUCUCGCUGGCGAUAAUGGCGGACUAGCUCAAAGGCGCGUUAUCUGAUGAGGAGACGAGAGAAGGGCUCGUUUGGUCUUUUAGGUCUAACUGAGGGAUUUCGGACAGUCUUAUUUGAGAUAAGGGAUGUGCUUUGGAUCGUUGGAUGAAACAAAAUGAAGGGCCAGGAUUUGUUGAACUCAAAACGACGUUACUCUACUUCUAUACGACAUUGUUCCUAGUCUUAAUGACUGACCACUUGGAUCGAGUAAAACAAUGGGUUUUGGG